UACGGAGGAUGCAAGCGUUAUCCGGAAUUAUUGGGUUUAAAGGGUCCGCAGGCGGCCCGUUAAGUCAGUAGUGAAAACCCGGGGCUCAACCCCGGACGUGCUACAGAUACUGGCGGGCUAGAGAGAGUCUGGAGGCAGCGGAAUGUGACAAGUAGCGGUGAAAUGCAUAGAUAUGUCACAGAACACCGAUAGCGAAAGCAGCUGCCUAAGACUUAUCUGACGCUCAGGGACGAAAGCGUGGGGAGCAAACAGG
This 253-nucleotide ribosomal RNA is filed under the name uncultured bacterium. RNAcentral's name for it is "partial 16S ribosomal RNA". It matches the Rfam family "Bacterial small subunit ribosomal RNA", at positions 524 to 776 of the family's 1533-position model. The record is from RNAcentral.